RNAcentral lists this microRNA precursor (130 nucleotides) under Pelobates cultripes (western spadefoot toad). The record is from RNAcentral. Lineage: Eukaryota; Metazoa; Chordata; Amphibia; Anura; Pelobatidae.
GGUGUGCACCCUAAAGCACAAACACACACGCCACAUGUUUAUAUAUAUAUAUAUAUAUAUAUAUAUAAUAUAUAUAUAUAUACACAUACACACAUAUACUGCUGUGUGUGUGUGUGUGAGGGUGCUGUGU